UCUCCGUAGGUGAACCUGCGGAGGGAUCAUUACCAGAGAUGGUGGGCCCCCGCGCCCCCGUCCCCAACCCUUUGUUGACUAACCAUUUUGCCUCGGGGGCAGAGCGUCCGCCGCCCCCGGUGGACCAACCAACCCUGUCUCUGUACGUCGGAGUCUUUUGAUGAAUGAAUGAAAACUUUUAACAACGGAUCUCUUGGUUCUGGCAUCGAUGAAGAACGCAGC
This 222-nucleotide unclassified non-coding RNA is filed under the name uncultured fungus. RNAcentral's name for it is "sequence contains ITS1, 5.8S rRNA gene". The stretch from base 174 to 222 matches the Rfam family "5.8S ribosomal RNA", at positions 1 to 49 of the family's 154-position model. The record is from RNAcentral. Lineage: Eukaryota; Fungi.